AGCUCAGAUUGCAGGCUGCAACUCGCCUGCAUGAAGUUGGAAUUGCUAGUAAUCGCGAAUCAGAAUGUCGCGGUGAAUACGUUCCCGGGCCUUGUACACACCGCCCGUCACACCAUGAGAGUCGAUAACACCCGAAGCCUGUGAGCUAACCGUAAGGAGGCAGCAGUCGAAGGUGGGGUUGAUGAUUGGGGUGAAGUCGUAACAAGGUACC
RNAcentral lists this ribosomal RNA (211 nucleotides) under uncultured bacterium. RNAcentral describes it as "partial 16S ribosomal RNA". It matches the Rfam family "Bacterial small subunit ribosomal RNA", at positions 1290 to 1500 of the family's 1533-position model. The record is from RNAcentral.